Molecule: ribosomal RNA, 305 nt
Filed under: soil fungal sp. DM2-411
Lineage: Eukaryota; Fungi
Description: eukaryotic LSU rRNA
Rfam family: Eukaryotic large subunit ribosomal RNA
Source: RNAcentral
GAGUUGUAAUUUGCAGAGGAUGCUUUGGCAUUGGCGGCGGUCUAAGUUCCUUGGAACAGGACAUCACAGAGGGUGAGAAUCCCGUACGUGGUCGCCUGCCUUUGCCGUGGAAAGCUCCUUCGACCAGCCCAGUUGUUUGGGAAUGCAGCUCUAAAUGGGAGGUAAAUUUCUUCUAAAGCUAAAUACUGGCCAGAGACCGAUNGCGCACAAGUAGAGUGAUCGAAAGAUGAAAAGUACUUUGGAAAGAGAGUCAAAAAGCACGUGAAAUUGUUGAAAGGGAAGCGCUUGCAGCCAGACUUGCCCGC